UCGCAUACAAGAGUGAGCCAUCUUUUGACGAUGGUAGGAUAAUUAUUGACCUGAGGAAUAAUAUGGAUUUAUGUGGUUGUGGUGGACUUUGUGUUUGUGAUUGUGAAAAUGUGAGUGUGUGUCUGUGUAUGUGUGAACCAGGGAUCCCACUUGACAAGUGGAUUUUGUGACGAGCGGAUUUACAAUGAGGGAAUGCUGUGAACAGGAAAAAUGAUGAGCUGUCCUAACUUGCCCAGACAUGCCAUGAUGACGUCACAGCUGACGUCACAGGAUGUCCGGAACUGGUGCUGCGAUGCUUUGCAACUUGCCUCCGUGCUCCGUCGCCCAGCGACAGUCAGCGGCCGUUCCGGACCGCUUUCUACAAGAUGGCGUCGUUGAUCGUCAACUAAACUCCUUCUCUCCACUCUAUCUCUAUCUUUUUAUUUUAUUUUCUACCUAUUUUUUUAUUUUUUAUCAGCUCAAGUAGCCAGAAACUCACACAGUGGUCUGGACGUGUCUUAGAUGAUCCCCAAUUAGUGU
Long non-coding RNA from Ornithodoros turicata, 519 nucleotides. RefSeq lists it as uncharacterized. NCBI's taxonomy places the organism in Eukaryota, Metazoa, Arthropoda, Arachnida, Ixodida, Argasidae. The record is from RefSeq and is a predicted model, not a curated record. The transcript has 3 exons.